This is a long non-coding RNA of Rattus norvegicus (Norway rat), 7764 nucleotides long. RefSeq lists it as uncharacterized. Lineage: Eukaryota; Metazoa; Chordata; Mammalia; Rodentia; Muridae. The record is from RefSeq and is a predicted model, not a curated record.
CACACACCAUCACACCAUCACACCAUCACACCAUCACACCCCAACUUAACAAAGUGUCCAGGCUGUCAGGGUUCUUCAUGGCCCAGAGAGCACCAAAAGGACAUAAGAAACAUCUUUUGUCAAGGUGUCCAGUCUUAGAGCUGACUUCAGACUUUUCGGGGCAGGGGAUAUUCUGCUUUUCUGAGAAAAUAGCCAGAAUUAGCAAGUCAUACACAUACUAAGCAAACAUUUUAUUGAGCCUACUGUGUUCCCAGAGCACCAUAAGAGGUAAAACUUCUGUCAUGUUCUCACGUUGGACAAGACUGCUGUGAGGUGGGGUGGAAAGAGCCUAGUGUUUUCUGAGGACCAUCUGGUCGUGAGCAUGGCAUUCCCACUACAGACUCUGCCUGCAGCAGUGUUCCAAGGGGCUGGAGGUCAAGGCUGCACUAUUUACAGCAGUAAAGAAUGAGGAAGAACUUGCAUGCCGGGCCUGCUGGCCAUCUCUGUGGCAAGCAUUAGGGUCUGGAUUCAAAUUCCCAGCACCCAAGUGAAAAGGUUGGGUGCGGCUGGGUGAGGGAGCAGAGGCAGGAGGAUUGCUGGCUUUCCAGAUGCCGGUCUAGAUUCAAUGAGACACUCAAAGGCAGGGUAAGGCAGAGAAUUACAGAGUGGGACACCCAGCCUCCUCUUCAGGCCUCUACACAAGUGUACUUGGGAGCUUGAGCCUAUGCACAGGUGCACAUAUGUCCCCCCAACACGGGGAGGGGGGAGAGGGAGGGAGGGAGAGGGAGAGUGGGUAAGGGAGAGAAGAGGAGAAGGAGAGAGGGGGGAAGGGGGAGAGAGAGAGUAGGGAGGGGGAUGGAGAGAGACGGAGAGUGGAGAACAGGUAAAUAAACAUCAGAGUAACUGAGUGUAUUACUUGAACAGCUGUAUGUGGGUAGAGAAAGGCCAGAUGGUGGCAGCCUCCCAGGAACCAUGCCAUUGGCCAACAGAGCCAAGGGUGGACAUGAGCAUGGUUACUGCUGAGCUGUCCGGACAGAUCAAAGAGUGUGUUUGCAUUAGAAUUUAAAAUCUCGAGAGGCAGUAGGCUAAUGGACACAGAGGAGAUCUAGGGGUGAGACACUGGCUUUAGCUAGUUUAAUCUGAUGUAGACAAAUUCAGCAGAGAAGUGUGCGCCAGAGCCUUUAAGGAGCAGCAGGAGGUGAGGCCCCAAGCUUGCAUUGCUUAUCCCAAGAAGAAGGCAGAAAGGCUAGAAGCACAGUAGGGGCAGAGGCUGGGAAACUUGGGGCCCUAAGUGGUAGAGAUGGUGCCAGGCUUGAUGUGGAGGAGAAAGGCAUGAGUGGGUGAAGACUAAGAGGUCCCUCUGAGUGGCCUUGCGUGGGAUAGCACCAGGGCAGGGAUGUGCCUUGGUAAGUAGCUGGAAUCCUAUAGGAAAGACAAGCUGGAGAUGUCAGGUUACGGAAGGCAUAAGGAGAAGACAGGGCAGCAGGUACCAAUGAUAGACUUAUAUUGUUAGAACUGGAGAGACUUCCUUAGCCCUGAGAUAGGGGAAUACAGGCCCUCACCAGAUGGGGCAAGGGAGUGUCUCAGGCUUUUAAGUUUUCUCUGAGCCUUUUGUGGGACUUGGCUCAGUUUUUCCAAGACCCGAACCUUCCUGCCUCCCGAUUGCAGUGAUCCCAACUGAGCUGGAGGCAAAGCAGAGGCUGCUGCUUGGAGGCCCUUGGGAAGAAGAGAGGGGAGAGAGGAAGAAGGUGUCCUUUGAUGGUCAGAAAGCCAGGACCACUCUCAGAACUCACAGCCUACUUAGGGCAAGCACUCCAAGCACAGAAACUGGGGACCGAACAGGCCAGACACUGAGAGAGGUGGCUGGAGGUGGGUGGUGCCCUCGAGAGCUCAUCCAAGAUACUCUGGCACCUGCCUUUCUGGUGCCUUAUAUAAUAUCAGCUACCCAGGCAGUACUGGGACAGGCAGAUCCUGAACCCAAGAGCUGGAGCCCUGGAAUCUAGUGUCUCCCUGUCCUGUGAGCUGAUGUUGAACAUGUCAUCUAGCUGUCACAGUGCUGUGGGUCCAGAGGCCUGGAACACAGGUAGAGAAGGGCCACACGGCACAUCGUAUUUCCCUACAAAAGGAAGAACCUGGGGUGAGAAGAGAAGGUUGUACCAUCCUGUCUGCUGUCUGAAACCAUCAGGAGAGUACAAAGAAAAUUCAGCUCUGUGGACACUGAUCUGAAAGAGACACUCAGUGAGGAACAGGUUACUGUCACACCAGCUUUGAGAACCCCUAGACAUUCUUCUUCCUUGUAGAGGGUCAAACCUGUAUGUUGUGAAAGUAGACAUCCCUACAGUGGUCCUGUUUAACACAGUUCUCAAACAUGCACACAGCACCUCCCCCUUUCCAGAAAGCUUGUUAGCUCUUUGCAGAAAGUGGGUUCCAUGCAGCACACCUUGGCGAGAACUGACCUGAUUCAUACGGACAGGGGCUCGUGCUAGGGAUUUAGCUGAAUGGUGAAAUGCUUACCUGCCCUGCACAAAACACAGGAUUCAUCUCCAGCAUGGCAGAGGGGAAAGGAAGGAGAGGGAGGGGGGAAGGAAGAAGGGAAGGGGAAGGGGCUAGGCAAAAGGAAAGUGAAGAAAUACAAAGAGGAGAAAGGGGAGGCAGCCCUUUAAGUGGGCUCUCAGAUGGCUCAGUGAAGGACAGACACAGCUGCCCUCUCUCACAGCAGGAGGACUGCUCGCUCCCGGGCCUGGCACGCAGUUAGCCUAGCCGGUGAAGCUUUUGCAGGACUCAGAGCAGCAGCCGCCUCGUUGCCAAGCUUGGCUGUGGCAGAGCCUGCUGUGGCUCAGGGACCAGCGGCUUCCAGGUGGGCGGUGGGGUCAGGCAUCUGGAGCAGCCGACACACAGAUGUCCCGGCCGCUCUUGGAUCCCUGCCUGCCUCCCGCUUUCCCUAAUUCCAAUAUUUGGCUGCUGCUCUUGCCUAAUUCAUAUUCCAAUGUCAACACUGCAUAAUCUCCCCCAAACACUGCCGCCCUGAGGCUGGGGAAGGGGAAGGGACAGGAAAGCGGGGACACAGAGACCGGAGCGGGUCAGGAAAGGAAAGUGAGGAGGCACAGGCCAGAGACAGGAAGCCCCAGCAGGCAGUGCUUCCGGUAACCCCCCCCCCCAUAUCCUUAGAGGGGGAGAUCUGUGGGACAUCAUUCAGUGCCAUAGGACACACUGUGCUCCACAGGGAUGAUGUUUUCAUGUGCCCAGAAAAGGGGACCCAGAGACUCCCCACAGCGAUCAAACGAGGGUGUGCUCAACUUGUAUGACCUGCAGUGAAGAUAGUGGGACUUCCGCCUCCCAAGUCCGGAUGCUUGGGUCUCUGCCUCCAGCUUAGCCUCUAGAUGGCUAUGUGGCCUUAGGGGUCAACUGACUACCUCAACUUUAUAACCAGGAAAUGCCAGAAGCUGACACAGGAACCCAAGGCUGCCUCUCUCCGAAGUCCCCACAUCCCCACAGUUGCCCUCAGUGAGAAGCACCUGGCUAAGGGAAAGAGGACAAAAAGCAUGUGGAGAAGAGGAUGGUGAGAAUAGACGGUGACGUGCUGGGUCUCACAGCCAGUGCAGGGAUGGCCUCAGACACAGUGGGGGCAGGACCACACUGUCACUGGUUCACACAGCAGAAGAGUCUAGGGUACCGGUCUUCAUACUGGGGGGUUAUCUGAGGAGAUCUAUGGGGCUCUGGCCCAGCUGGAGUGGCCAAAGAGUUUGCAGCUCCCUGAGGGGGAGCAAGACUGGAUGUUGGGCCUCUUCCUCAGCGGCCGUUGCCCCAGAGUCCGUGGCAGGUGGCAGGAUGCAGUAAAAAUUGGUCUGUGGCUAGGAGCUAAGGUUGGGGACCACCGAGCAGGAAGUUGCUGCAGUAGGCUCUAGCAGCUUCCAGCAACUAAAGCUUCAGGAGAAAAUACUCUUCCCUUAGGGUAUUACAGCUUGAUAAAUCAGGUACUCUCAGAAAGUCUUUGGUAAAAUACCUCGUGUACCUUAUUCCUGGUGGAUAGGAUCUUAUAAACAUUCUGGGUGGGUAGGCAUCUAAAGGCAGAUACCUUCUAUUGGCUUGGUCUGAGAUGUUAGAGAUGCCUCAUCUGACCAUGGAGGGGAUUUGGGUAUUGCCUGUAUGUGAUUGAUUGAUUACCACAGUCCUCUCCAUGUGGUGUCAUGUGCACGUGUUCCAGGACAGGAACCUGGUCGGGAGUAGAUUUAAUCAUCUACCGUUCUCAAUUAUGAGAAUUGCUGGGGUUCCGCUCAACCUUACCAGGUUUUCUGUCUGGUGGCUCGGUCCACUGCCCACACUAGGGGAUGGAGUGAACUGGGGCAAACAGAGCAAGUACAGCCCCACCCCAACAGGAGCCUGUUCUGGGCAUGUAAUAACAUAUGCCCAGGGCCACCAGAUCUGCUGCCCUUUCAAAGAUUCCAAAAAUCAAAUUACUGCUCAGAAUCUCCCUAUUUGUACAUGUUGGCUGAACAUUUAAGACAAAGGACAAACACUCAGACAAACAAAAUGUCACUGCUCCCUGGCUGACCCACUGGCCACAGUCACAGCCUCCAACAAUCCAAUCCCAUCAGCUCACAGAGGCUCGCUGGAGUGUGAACUCGCAGGCUGCAGGACUGACCAUGUUUCUGUGUCUAGUGGUGCCAGGGCUGGCACCGACAUGUAUUGUCAGACUUUGGGAACAUGGGAAUGCAAGCCAGUUCCCAGACAGUAAGAAUAGAUCCUGGCUCCUGCGUCUCUGUCCCAACCCUGCUCAUGGCCUCUCUCACUGUUCCCUGGUGCUGUUCAGAAACAGCCUCCAGGGUUGCAGAAAUGGGUCAGUCACUUGUUAAGCAAGCAUGAGGAUCUGAGUUCAGAUCUCCAACAACCAGGGGUGUCAACUUGUCAGUAGGCCAAGGUGAAUGAUCAGAUGGGCCCUGGAGUCCAUUGACCAGCUAGUCUAGAUGGACAGAGGGGCUCCAGGUUCCACGAGAGAACCUGCCUCAAAAAAGAAGAGGGAAACACCAAAUCUCAACCUCCACAUGAGCGUAUGCAGACACCCACAUGAACACACAAUGCAGUUUCUCACCAGGCUUGUACACACACACACACACACACACAGAGAGAGAGAGAGAGAGAGAGAGAGAGAGAGAGAGAGAGAGAGGGAGAGAGAGAGAGAGAGAGAGAUUGUAUUUCCAGCCCUGUAGAGCCAGGAUCUUAGCAGACAGAGAUUAGAAACCUAUGUUUAUUAUUUUUAUGUGUAUAAAUGUUUUACCUGCCUAUAUGUCUGUGUACUGGGUUCAUGCAGUACUCACAGAGGCCAGAAGAGGGCAUCAGAUCCUCUGGGACUGGAGUUAGAUGGUUGGAACCUCCAUGUGAGUGCUGGGAGCUGAACCCAGGUCCUUUAAAAGAGCACCACUGCUCUUAAUCACUGAGCCAUUCCUGCAGCCUCAGAAAUCUGUACUUUUGGUAAUUUUGAAGCUCACGUGGCAGUCCCUUCAGAAGUUAAACUUACAGGCCAGAGGCUGUAGGAGCCAGAACUAUGCAAAAGUCUGUGAGAAAUUAAGAUGUGUCUACAGGAAGAAGUGUUACAUGAAGGAUGAAUAGCCCAAAUGUCCAUCGGGUGGUGCAUAGAGACACAGUAUGGUACAGUUCCCCGCCCCCCGCAACCGGAUUAUUAUGUAGCUUCAAAAAAGGUGAAGUGAGGUAAUUUGUGUCACCAUAUAGAUAUAGAUGCACUUCGAUUGAAAAGAAAAAUAGGUGCACGCAAGAGAGAAGCAGCUCAUCCAGGGCAUGCGAUUCCACUUGGUGGCAUUUCCAGAAUGAGUGCUCAGAGCACUUCCCACCUGCUGAAGAAGGGGACAGGAAGGCAUGGCCGCUGAUGGAGAGGCGACUCUUGGGAGGGGCGUAGUAAAAACAUCCCCUGGAACCAAAUAAGACAACGGUUGUGCAAGCCUGAAAUGCACUGAAUUCCAUGCGGUCGACUGUAUGUGGAUUAUAUUAAAAAUAGCCCAUCCUCCAGUGUCUUACCCAGGGGAGUGUAGGAGAUGAAGCCAGAAAGAAAAUAAAGAGGGAGCACUAAGAGCUAAGCGGCAGCAGCUAGUGGUGGAAGAGUGACCGCUGCCCGCUGCCUGCUGCCCCACAGUCUGCACUCCAGUCUGAGCUGCUGCGGGCAAGUGAGCGGCUGUCACCUGGGUUGUUGGAGGAAAAUCCAACCCUCAUUCGCCUCACUUCAGACUUUCCAUUUCAAUGCCCACAGCCUCAAGUGCCCUCCCAUGACCCUGGGGCUUGGCCCUGUGAGUAGAGCACAGCGUGCACAGAGACAUGGGUCUGCUCCUGCCCGAGUAACAUAUACAAGCAGAUACAGUGAUGUACACCCACAAGCCCAGUGCUUUGUGGGUAAAGAUAGGAGCAGCAGGAGUUAAAGAUCAUCCUCAGCUACGGAAAGAGUCUACAUCAGCUUGUGAUAUAUGAGACCUGGUCUAAAAAGAGAUUAAAAGGAAACAAAACAAAGCAAAAAACUCCAAGAAGACAGUAACAGUAAAAUUCAUACAAUGUUGUCUCUAAUUAGAGGAAAGUAGACAACUAGAAACCUGGGGAGAGGGCUUAUCAGGUAAACCUGAGGGCCUGAGUUUAGCAUCUAUGUCACAGUGGUACAUGCCUUUGCUCUCAGCAGAAGUGGGCAGGUUUCUGUGGGUCUAUAUAGUGAAUCCCAGACCAGUCAGGGCUACAUAAUGAAACACUUCCCCAUCCCAGGGAACCUUCCCCCAUCUCAGAAAAAAAGAAAAGCUGGACGUGGCUAUGCACCUGUUGAGUCAGGGCUGUAAAGGGGCAGAGGCAGGGGACUGCGGGGUGAAGGGGCUGGCAGCUGGCGUAGCUCCAGGCUCAGUGGGACUGGUCUCACGGGAAUAAAAAGGUAGAGUUAUAGAGCAGGACACAUGGCAUGACCUCUAUGCACCCCACAUGUAACAACACAUACACGUGCAGAUAUGAAAUAAAAACAGAGAAGUAACAAAAGAAAGUGGUGAACACAUAUCUGCUGAGAAGUUAGGUCAUAAUCGUGUUUGGUCACACUGAGGGAAACAGGGAAGGAGGGGGUAAAUGGCACUUAGUAGAGUGAAGAGUAAAGGCCACAUGGCGGGGAACAAGUAGCUUCCUGAGGACAGAACUUCCAAUGGACAAACUGGAUUGUCCUCUCUGACGUAUUCACUGCAGAGGGAUAAAUAAGUCAAAGCCUGGGAGACCCCAGUAGAUGCGUCCCCAGCCUGAUGGUGAGCAUCUCCAAGAUAAGGUGGAUCCCACAUGGCUCACAGAAGGCUUGUUACUGUGGAAAGGAGUGUCCACCCUGACACACACGAUCUCAACCGGAUGUUGAAGAAAAUGUCGGCACACCCACAUAGUAAUUUUUCGUAACAGAAACAACCAGUGCCCUCUCAGAGGGUCCCAGUCAUGACAGAGCAGAACUGAAGCCCUGCCAGAGCACAGAGGAGUUCUGAGCACAGCCUGCUGCCUGAAUCCUGGCCUGCAUCCCAGAAAGGAACAGGGCCAUUAAUAGCAAAGCUGGUGAGAUCUGAAUAAAAUCUGCACAUUCACGAAUAGCAUCGCACCCAGACGGUUUCCUUGGUUUGGGUCACUGUGUUCUGAUUACAUGAGAUGUUAGAGAAAACGCAGGAAGGAUGGAGAAAGAACUACUACUGAGGAACUCGCUGUGCAACCUCAGUGACUUUCCUCCAGGUCUAAAAUUAUUUUGAAUUUAAAAAAAAUAAAUCAACGUAUCCUGUGAUA